RNAcentral lists this ribosomal RNA (458 nucleotides) under uncultured Cercozoa. Its description in RNAcentral is "partial 18S ribosomal RNA". It matches the Rfam family "Eukaryotic small subunit ribosomal RNA", at positions 945 to 1308 of the family's 1831-position model. Lineage: Eukaryota; Cercozoa. The record is from RNAcentral.
GCGAAAGCAUUCAUCAAUUACACGCCCUUUAAUCAAGAACGAAAGUUAGAGUAGCAAAGGCCAUUAGAUGCAGCUGUAGUUUUAACCAUAAACGAUGACAUUUCAGGAUAUCAUUGAUAAUUUUGUUUUUCUGCGUUGUGGGCUUGCCCAUUUCACAGAAUGCUUAUACAGAUUAUGUUCAUUGAGGAUUAGAUUGGGUAACCAAUCCCUCGUGUAGACCAAUGGUGCACUGUGUGGGAAACCAUUAAAAUGUGUGCGUGGAGUUUAUAGUAGCAAUGCCGAAAUUUAAAAGAAUUGACGGAAGUAUCACCACCAGGAGUGGAUCGUGCGGCUUAAUUUGACUCAACGCGGGAAAUCUUACCAGGUCAGGACACCGUGAGGAAAGACAGACUGCAGCUCUUUCCUGAUUCUGUGCUUUGUUAUAUGUAGUGCAUGGCCUUUGGGAAGUGAGUGGAUUG